Molecule: unclassified non-coding RNA, 379 nt
Filed under: uncultured Microbacteriaceae bacterium
Lineage: Bacteria; Bacillati; Actinomycetota; Actinomycetes; Micrococcales; Microbacteriaceae
Description: contains 16S-23S intergenic spacer region
Source: RNAcentral
UCCGAGUUGACCCCGGCAGUCUCAUAUGAGUUCCCACCAUUACGUGCUGGCAACAUACGACGAGGGUUGCGCUCGUUGCGGGACUUAACCCAACAUCUCACGACACGAGCUGACGACAACCAUGCACCACCUGUAACCGAGUGUCCAAAGAGUUCCACAUUUCUGCGGCGUUCUCGGUUAUGUCAAGCCUUGGUAAGGUUCUUCGCGUUGCAUCGAAUUAAUCCGCAUGCUCCGCCGCUUGUGCGGGCCCCCGUCAAUUCCUUUGAGUUUUAGCCUUGCGGCCGUACUCCCCAGGCGGGGCGCUUAAUGCGUUAGCUACGACACGGAAACCGUGGAAAGGUCCCCACAUCUAGCGCCCAACGUUUACGGCGUGGACUAC